AGCAGUUUUACAAUGUAGGAAAAUUUAAUACAUACUAUAUAAACAACAUAUUUACAUCAGAAAUCACUAGGACAGUGGCAUUUUUUCACAAAUAUAAAUUAAUAGUAAUUACUGUUUUAGUUAACAGGUCUUAAAAGUCCACAAUUUUACAAGAAAGAGAAACCGUCUGUCCCCACACGACUGGGGGCAAAUGGACUACAGCCGUCUGGAUCGUUGGCACCGAUCUCCUACCUCGAUCACAGUAAGAUCUCAGACAGUCAGAAGCUCCAUGUGUACUGGGCACUAGAUCAACAAUUCUUGUUGACCAUAGGUUUUGGUCUGUAGAAUUUCCGGGUCAUAGUGUAAAUUCAUAACUGAAUCAGGUUUGCACCACACUUCCUGAUGAAAAUUUUCAGACAUCAGGCUAGAAUGUACUUAACUUUAAAAUGCAGCAAGAGGUGAGAAGUUUUCACUUUUCCCAUUAAAAAGGCUUUAAGGAAUGACUGGCUAGAGGAUAAAAUGGAGAUAUGGAAGGUAGGAGGAAGGAAAAGCAUUUAAAGAUAUUGCCAUCAAUCCUCACAGAGUGCUCAACUGUUUCCCCUUUGGACUUUGAAUGCUUUAAAAAUUGUUUUUGGUUUUAUAUUAUCACUGAAGACUCUAUCAUUUCAGCUACUAGUACUUUUUGUUUACAUUCAGGUACUGUUUUUAAUGGGUGUGAUGUUAUUUUUCUUUCUCUUUAGCAUCCGGGCCAAAGAAAUCUCUAAAUAUAUCUCCCCAAUCUGGGGUCCUGAGAACUCCUGAGGUUCCCAUAGUAAUUCCUCUUUUCUCCAAACAGAGACAUAACUUCCAUCCAUGCAUUAUUUUUUUCUUUAAAUAUACCAUUUUGUCACAAUGAUUUUGAUUUUGAAGAAGGAAACACCUUUCUCCUUACUCCCUCCUAGACUUAGUUCAGAUGCCAAACAUGUAUAAGAGUAUUUGGGAUACUGUAGUUAAACAAUCAAUUUAACACUGAUCUGGCCAGUAUUGCCUUUUGCUACAUCUUAUGGCACUAAAAGUCUUGACAAAAACAUUUCAUGAAUGUGAACAAUGUGAAGUUGUUUUUUCUCCUCAUGAUGAGACAUCUUUGUUGCCUAACAUUCCUUGCCUAACUAGUUCAAUGAAAUCAAAUAUUGGUGAAUAUCCAAAAAAAAGUAUAUUCUCCAACCAUCCACCCAUACCUUCAUUAAAGAUUACUGAAAGCUGUAGGAAAACCCAUAAUCUGAAUUCCCAAAGGGGAAAAAUGUACCAGGGCUCAAUCCCUCACUAGCUCACCAUUCUAUAUCAGCUGAGAUUAAAAGGAGCUUUCUUAAUACUUUCUGGUUUGCCUUGGGUAAGACAAACAUGUGGAUGGCGCCAAAACCAUUAGCAGAGCUAAGGUUUUUUGUUUCCACAGCACUUUGUGGCUUAUAAAGGGACAGAAUAUUUCCCAAUUUCCUCAGUUAUAUCUGCUCUAAAUCUUUGAUAGGAUUAUUUCUGAUAUGUGCAAUAUGACACCUUUGGGUGCUUGGCCCCAAUGCUUCCACUGUGAAAGUCCAAGUUGAAGAAUCAAAAGCACUAUGAAGGGGAAAAAAAAAAAAUUAAAGAAAAACUGCCCACCAAAAAUUGCUGCAUAGCCAACCACAGAAGCUUCUUAAAUUUUCUGUGCCUCUCAUGAUGACCUGGAUCGUUGACUGUUUCCAUGAUAUGUUUAGUUUAGCAUGGAGCAAUGGACCACGAAACCAUUUCUGCUCAAGUGGUGUUAAACAAUAGAGGCAUUUCUUGGGAGUGUCU
This is a long non-coding RNA of Sarcophilus harrisii (Tasmanian devil), 1788 nucleotides long. NCBI's taxonomy places the organism in Eukaryota, Metazoa, Chordata, Mammalia, Dasyuromorphia, Dasyuridae. The record is from Ensembl.